Molecule: ribosomal RNA, 253 nt
Filed under: uncultured prokaryote
Description: partial 16S ribosomal RNA
Rfam family: Bacterial small subunit ribosomal RNA
Source: RNAcentral
UACAGAGGUCCCGAGCGUUGUUCGGAUUCACUGGGCGUAAAGGGUGCGUAGGUGGUCGGGUAAGUUUGAUGUGAAAUCUCCGGGCUUAACCCGGAAACUGCAUUGAAUACUAUUCGGCUGGAGGGUUGGAGGGGGGACUGGAAUUCUCGGUGUAGCAGUGAAAUGCGUAGAUAUCGAGAGGAACACCAGUGGCGAAGGCGGGUCUCUGGACAGUUCCUGACACUGAGACACGAAGGCCAGGGGAGCAAACGGG